UACGUAUGGAGCAAGCGUUAUCCGGAUUUACUGGGUGUAAAGGGAGCGCAGACGGACGCGCAAGUCUGAAGUGAAAACCCACGGCUCAACUGUGGGCCUGCUUUGGAAACUGCGUAUCUAGAGUGCCGGAGGGGCAAGCGGAAUUCCUAGUGUAGCGGUGAAAUGCGUAGAUAUUAGGAGGAACACCGGUGGCGAAGGCGGCUUGCUGGACGGUAACUGACGUUGAGGCUCGAAGGCGUGGGGAGCAAAC
RNAcentral lists this ribosomal RNA (250 nucleotides) under uncultured prokaryote. Its description in RNAcentral is "partial 16S ribosomal RNA". It matches the Rfam family "Bacterial small subunit ribosomal RNA", at positions 524 to 773 of the family's 1533-position model. The record is from RNAcentral.